GGAGCUUGCUCCACCGGAAAAAGAGGAGUGGCGAACGGGUGAGUAACACGUGGGUAACCUGCCCAUCAGAAGGGGAUAACACUUGGAAACAGGUGCUAAUACCGUAUAACAAUCGAAACCGCAUGGUUUUGAUUUGAAAGGCGCUUUCGGGUGUCGCUGAUGGAUGGACCCGCGGUGCAUUAGCUAGUUGGUGAGGUAACGGCUCACCAAGGCCACGAUGCAUAGCCGACCUGAGAGGGUGAUCGGCCACAUUGGGACUGAGACACGGCCCAAACUCCUACGGGAGGCAGCAGUAGGGAAUCUUCGGCAAUGGACGAAAGUCUGACCGAGCAACGCCGCGUGAGUGAAGAAGGUUUUCGGAUCGUAAAACUCUGUUGUUAGAGAAGAACAAGGAUGAGAGUAACUGUUCAUCCCUUGACGGUAUCUAACCAGAAAGCCACGGCUAACUACGUGCCAGCAGCCGCGGUAAUACGUAGGUGGCAAGCGUUGUCCGGAUUUAUUGGGCGUAAAGCGAGCGCAGGCGGUUUCUUAAGUCUGAUGUG
Molecule: ribosomal RNA, 542 nt
Filed under: Enterococcus faecium
Lineage: Bacteria; Bacillati; Bacillota; Bacilli; Lactobacillales; Enterococcaceae
Also listed under: 1 other name
Description: bacterial SSU rRNA
Rfam family: Bacterial small subunit ribosomal RNA
Source: RNAcentral